Molecule: long non-coding RNA, 313 nt
Organism: Nematostella vectensis (starlet sea anemone)
Lineage: Eukaryota; Metazoa; Cnidaria; Anthozoa; Actiniaria; Edwardsiidae
Exons: 2
Source: RefSeq, a predicted model, not a curated record
GGCAUCAGAUGAGAACCCUGACUAUACAGUUGUGGCUACUGUUGCAGCAACCAUUCUUCGUAACCGGUGCAUGCACAUGUCAGCCUUGGCCUACCAGAUUGGUCUUAUCCUUCGUUUCUCUGGAACAUCACAAACAGGACUGGAAAUUCUGAAAGCUCAUGGUCUUACUGUCCACCCUACCCAGCUAACAGCCAAGGCAAAAGAAAUGAUCAUGAUCAUGAUCAUGACAAGACUCUUCUUGAAUGGAAGGGAAGUAUUGAGAAGCACAAAGACACAAUGCAGUGUUUAGAGAUUGUAAGGCAUUGUCUACUAA